CGGACGGGUGAGUGACGCGUGGGUAACCUGCCUUACACAGGGGGAUAACACCUGGAAACAGGUGCUAAUACCGCAUAAGCGCACAGGGCCGCAUGGCCCGGUGUGAAAAACUCCGGUGGUGUAAGAUGGACCCGCGUCUGAUUAGCUUGUUGGCGGGGUAGGGGCCCACCAAGGCGACGAUCAGUAGCCGGCCUGAGAGGGUGGACGGCCACAUUGGGACUGAGACACGGCCCAAACUCCUACGGGAGGCAGCAGUGGGGGAUAUUGGACAAUGGGGGAAACCCUGAUCCAGCGACGCCGCGUGAGUGAAGAAGUAUUUCGGUAUGUAAAGCUCUGUCAGCAGGGAAGAAAGAAAUGACGGUACCUGACCAAGAAGCCCCGGCUAACUACGUGCCCGCAGCCGCGGUAAUACGUAGGGGGCAAGCGUUAUCCGGAAUUACUGGGUGUAAAGGGAGCGUAGACGGUGAUGCAAGUCUGGAGUGAAAGGCGGGGGCCCAACCCCCGGACUGCUCUGGAAACUGUGUAACUUGAGUGCAGGAGAGGUAAGCGGAAUUCCUAGUGUAGCGGUGAAAUGCGUAGAUAUUAGGAGGAACACCAGUGGCGAAGGCGGCUUACUGGACUGUAACUGACGUUGAGGCUCGAAAGCGUGGGGAGCAAACAGGAUUAGAUACCCUGGUAGUCCACGCCGUAAACGAUGAUUACUAGGUGUCGGUGGGUAUGGACCCACCGGUGCCGCAGCAAACGCAGUAAGUAAUCCACCUGGGGAGUACGUUCGCAAGAAUGAAACUCAAAGGA
Molecule: ribosomal RNA, 795 nt
Filed under: uncultured bacterium
Lineage: Bacteria
Description: bacterial SSU rRNA
Rfam family: Bacterial small subunit ribosomal RNA
Source: RNAcentral